AUUGAACGCUGGCGGCAUGCUUUACACAUGCAAGUCGAACGGCAGCGCGGGCUUCGGCCUGGCGGCGAGUGGCGAACGGGUGAGUAAUGCAUCGGAACGUGCCCAGUAGUGGGGGAUAGCCCGGCGAAAGCCGGAUUAAUACCGCAUACGCCCUGAGGGUGAAAGCGGGGGACCGAAAGACCUCGCGCUAUUGGAGCGGCCGAUGUCGGAUUAGCUAGUUGGUGGGGUAAAGGCUUACCAAGGCGACGAUCCGUAGCUGGUCUGAGAGGACGACCAGCCACACUGGGACUGAGACACGGCCCAGACUCCUACGGGAGGCAGCAGUGGGGAAUUUUGGACAAUGGGGGCAACCCUGAUCCAGCCAUGCCGCGUGCGGGAAGAAGGCCUUCGGGUUGUAAACCGCUUUUGUUCGGGAAGAAAUCCUCUGGGCUAAUACCCCGGGGGGAUGACGGUACCGGAAGAAUAAGCACCGGCUAACUACGUG
Molecule: ribosomal RNA, 484 nt
Filed under: uncultured bacterium
Lineage: Bacteria
Description: partial 16S ribosomal RNA
Rfam family: Bacterial small subunit ribosomal RNA
Source: RNAcentral